CCUACGGGAGGCAGCAGUGAGGAAUAUUGGUCAAUGGACGAGAGUCUGAACCAGCCAUGUAGCGUGAAGGAUGACUGCCCUAUGGGUUGUAAACUUCUUUUAUAUGGGAAUAAACUGUUCCACGUGUGGGAUUUUGUAUGUACCAUAUGAAUAAGGAUCGGCUAACUCCGUGCCAGCAGCCGCGGUAAUACGGAGGAUCCGAGCGUUAUCCGGAUUUAUUGGGUUUAAAGGGAGCGUAGGUGGAUUGUUAAGUCAGUUGUGAAAGUUUGCGGCUCAACCGUAAAAUUGCAGUUGAUACUGGCAGUCUUGAGUACAGUAGAGGUGGGCGGAAUUCGUGGUGUAGCGGUGAAAUGCUUAGAUAUCACGAAGAACUCCGAUUGCGAAGGCAGUUCACUGGACUGCAACUGACACUGAGGCUCGAAAGUGUGGGUAUCAAACAGGAUUAGAUACCCCAGUAGUC
This 460-nucleotide ribosomal RNA is filed under the name uncultured bacterium. RNAcentral's name for it is "partial 16S ribosomal RNA". It matches the Rfam family "Bacterial small subunit ribosomal RNA", at positions 338 to 795 of the family's 1533-position model. The record is from RNAcentral.